Molecule: ribosomal RNA, 442 nt
Filed under: uncultured bacterium
Lineage: Bacteria
Description: partial 16S ribosomal RNA
Rfam family: Bacterial small subunit ribosomal RNA
Source: RNAcentral
CCUACGGGUGGCAGCAGUGGGGAAUAUUGGACAAUGGGGGCAAGCCUGACCCAGCAAUGCCGCGUGAAGGAAGAAGGCUUUCGGGAUGUAAACUUCUUUGACAGGGGAAGAGCAGAAGACGGUACCCUGAAAACAAGCCACGGCUAACUACGGGCCAGCAGCCGCGGUAAUACGUAGGUGGCAAGCGUUGUCCGGAUUUACUGGGUGUAAAGGGCGUGUAGCCGGGAAGGCAAGUCAGAUGUGAAAUCUGGAGGCUCAACCUCCAAAUUGCAUUUGAAACUGUUUUUCUUGAGUGCUGGAGAGGCAGACGGAAUUCCUUGUGUAGCGGUGAAAUGCGUAGAUAUAAGGAGGAACACCAGUGGCGAAGGCGGUCUGCUGGACAGCAACUGACGGUGAGGCGCGAAAGCGUGGGGAGCAAACAGGAUUAGAUACCCUAGUAGUC